UGGGGAAUAUUGCACAAUGGGCGCAAGCCUGAUGCAGCCAUGCCGCGUGUAUGAAGAAGGCCUUCGGGUUGUAAAGUACUUUCAGCGGGGAGGAAGGGAGUAAAGUUAAUACCUUUGCUCAUUGACGUUACCCGCAGAAGAAGCACCGGCUAACUCCGUGCCAGCAGCCGCGGUAAUACGGAGGGUGCAAGCGUUAAUCGGAAUUACUGGGCGUAAAGCGCACGCAGGCGGUUUGUUAAGUCAGAUGUGAAAUCCUCGGGCUCAACCUGGGAACUGCAUCUGAUACUGGCAAGCUUGAGUCUCGUAGAGGGGGGUAGAAUUCCAGGUGUAGCGAUGAAAUGCGUAGAGAUCUGGAGGAAUACCGGUGGCGAAGGCGGCCCCCUGGACAAAGACUGACGCUCAGGUGCGAAAGCGUGGGGAGCAAACAGG
Molecule: ribosomal RNA, 429 nt
Filed under: Chloroflexota bacterium
Lineage: Bacteria; Bacillati; Chloroflexota
Description: Chloroflexi bacterium partial 16S ribosomal RNA
Rfam family: Bacterial small subunit ribosomal RNA
Source: RNAcentral